AGACCCGAAACCCGGUGAUCUAGCCAUGGGCAGGUUGAAGGUUGGGUAACACUAACUGGAGGACCGAACCGACUAAUGUUGAAAAAUUAGCGGAUGACCUGUGGCUGGGGGUGAAAGGCCAAUCAAACCGGGAGAUAGCUGGUUCUCCCCGAAAGCUAUUUAGGUAGCGCCUCGUGAAUUCAUCUCCGGGGGUAGAGCACUGUUUCGGCUAGGGGGCCAUCCCGGCUUACCAACCCGAUGCAAACUGCGAAUACCGGAGAAUGUUAUCACGGGAGACACACGGCGGGUGCUAACGUCCGUCGUGAAGAGGGAAACAACCCAGACCGCCAGCUAAGGUCCCAAAGUCAUGGUUAAGUGGGAAACGAUGUGGGAAGGCCCAGACAGCCAGGAUGUUGGCUUAGAAGCAGCCAUCAUUUAAAGAAAGCGUAAUAGCUCACUGGUCGAGUCGGCCUGCGCGGAAGAUGUAACGGGGCUAAACCAUGCACCGAAGCUGCGGCAGCGACGCUGAUGCGUUGUUGGGUAGGGGAGCGUUCUGUAAGCCUGCGAAGGUGACCUGUGAGGGUUGCUGGAGGUAUCAGAAGUGCGAAUGCUGACAUAAGUAACGAUAAAGCGGGUGAAAAGCCCGCUCGCCGGAAGACCAAGGGUUCCUGUCCAACGUUAAUCGGGGCAGGGUGAGUCGACCCCUAAGGCGAGGCCGAAAGGCGUAGUCGAUGGGAAACGGGUUAAUAUUCCCGUACUUGGUGUUACUGCGAAGGGGGGACGGAGAAGGCUAUGUUGGCCGGGCGACGGUUGUCCCGGUUUAAGCGUGUAGGUGUGUGUUCCAGGUAAAUCCGGU
RNAcentral lists this ribosomal RNA (835 nucleotides) under Salmonella enterica subsp. enterica serovar Typhimurium. RNAcentral's name for it is "partial 23S ribosomal RNA". It matches the Rfam family "Bacterial large subunit ribosomal RNA", at positions 711 to 1546 of the family's 2925-position model. RNAcentral also lists the same sequence under 1 other name. The record is from RNAcentral. Lineage: Bacteria; Pseudomonadati; Pseudomonadota; Gammaproteobacteria; Enterobacterales; Enterobacteriaceae.